ACCAUGAAAAAUGAAGUGCAGUGACUCAGGCAGCGCGUGAGAAGUCUGGCACCUUGGGAUAGUCCCGUCGGGGCGAAGGGCUCUGUCCUCUCCAAGGGUCCCCUCCAUCUCCUCCAAAUACAGACAGCGGGCCAAGCCUCAGAGGAGGUGAGCGGGAGUGAAGAAGUUCAUCUCCAAGGAGGGUUGCUCCUGAGGCUCAUUUAUACAAGAAAAUAAAAGUCCACGUGCCUCAUUGGAAACCAUGUCACCAUCAGAUACCACUGGGGAAGAAGCAGAGAUGGAUACAAGGGGGCAGGGUGCAGUGUGACUCCCCCCAGCCUGGGAGCCCUGAGGUGAAGGCUACGUGGGGUUGCUGUGCAGAGGAUGGAAUUACAAGCCUGCAUCUGAGACAAAGGUUCUUUAUGCUGCGUCUGCUCGUUAAUUAGCCGCUGGAAACUUUGGGACAGGGCCAUUAACAUGCUCAUAAACCUUUGAUUUCAAAUGUUUUUGCUCAGCCGCGAUUCUGAUGUGACUCCCCUCGUAAGCUGGAUGGAGGACGUUUGUUUCUUAACACUUAGGAGGCGCAUAGCUCCUCCAGCCCCGUGGCUCAUGAACUAGCCCGUUAAGGAUUCCGCCUCCUGCAGGCAGAAGCCUCCACUCGGCCUCCCAGAGCCUUGGAGGGCACCUAAUUGGGACAGCGUGAGGCCCCAAGGGAGCUCGAGGCUGGCGUGCGGCGAGGG
This is a long non-coding RNA of Orcinus orca (killer whale), 719 nucleotides long. RefSeq lists it as uncharacterized. Lineage: Eukaryota; Metazoa; Chordata; Mammalia; Artiodactyla; Delphinidae. The record is from RefSeq and is a predicted model, not a curated record. The transcript is spliced from 3 exons.